Molecule: ribosomal RNA, 405 nt
Filed under: uncultured bacterium
Lineage: Bacteria
Description: partial 16S ribosomal RNA
Rfam family: Bacterial small subunit ribosomal RNA
Source: RNAcentral
AUUGAACGCUGGCGGCAGGCUUAACACAUGCAAGUCGAACGAGUGGCGGACGGGUGAGUAAUGCUUGGGAAUCUGGCUUAUGGAGGGGGAUAACGACGGGAAACUGUCGCUAAUACCGAGUACCCAAGGAUGAGCCCAAGUGGGAUUGGGUAGUUGGUGGGGUAAUGGCCUACCAGGCCGACGCUCUCUCGCUGGUCUGAGAGGAUGCCCAGCCACACCGGGACGGAGACACGGCCCGGACUCCUACGGAAGGCAGCAGUGGGGAAUAUUGCUCAAUGGGGGCAACCUGACGCAGCCAUGCCGCGUGAAUGAAGAAGGCCUUCGGGUUGUAAAGUUCUUUCGGUGACGAGGCGUUAAUCACAGAAGAAGCACCGGCUAACUCCGUGCCAGCCGCCGCGGUAAUUC